This 483-nucleotide ribosomal RNA is filed under the name uncultured bacterium. RNAcentral describes it as "bacterial SSU rRNA". It matches the Rfam family "Bacterial small subunit ribosomal RNA", at positions 26 to 518 of the family's 1533-position model. The record is from RNAcentral.
AGGACGAACGCUGGCGGCGUGCCUAACACAUGCAAGUCGAGCGGAGAUGUUGAAGAUUAUCGGAUGCAUCUUAGCGGCGGACGGGUGAGUAACGCGUGGAUAACCUGCCUCAAACAGGGGGAUAACACUGGGAAACUAGUGCUAAUACCGCAUAACACAGUUCUGUGGCAUCACAGAAUUGUCAAAGGAGCAAUCCGGUAUGAGAUGGAUCCGCGUCCAAUUAGCUAGUUGGUGGUGUAAUGGACCACCAAGGCGACGAUUGGUAGCCGAACUGAGAGGUUGAUCGGCCACAUUGGGACUGAGACACGGCCCAGACUCCUACGGGAGGCAGCAGUGGGGAAUAUUGCGCAAUGGGGGAAAAACCCCUGACGCAGCAACGCCGCGUGAAGGAUGAAGGUUUUCGGAUCGUAAACUUCUUUGAUUGGGGACGAGUAAUGACGGUACCCAAAAACAAGCCACGGCUAACUACGUGCCAGCCGCAGC